RNAcentral lists this microRNA (23 nucleotides) under Caenorhabditis elegans. Its description in RNAcentral is "cel-miR-60-5p". Its record names the gene cel-miR-60-5p. The record is from miRBase by way of RNAcentral. Lineage: Eukaryota; Metazoa; Nematoda; Chromadorea; Rhabditida; Rhabditidae.
AACUGGAAGAGUGCCAUAAAAUC